GACAGAGGUCCCGAGCGUUAGGCGGAAUCACUGGGCUUAAAGCGUGUGUAGGCGGAUUUGUAAGUACCUUGUGAAAUCCCAUGGCUCAACCAUGGAACUGCUCGGUAUACUGCGAAUCUUGAGCCACUUAGGGGCUACCGGAACAAAUGGUGGAGCGGUGAAAUGCGUAGAUAUCAUUUGGAACGCCAAUGGUGAAAACAGGUAGCUGGGAGUGUGCUGACGCUGAGACACGAAAGCCAGGGGAGCGAACGGG
RNAcentral lists this ribosomal RNA (253 nucleotides) under uncultured bacterium. Its description in RNAcentral is "partial 16S ribosomal RNA". It matches the Rfam family "Bacterial small subunit ribosomal RNA", at positions 524 to 776 of the family's 1533-position model. The record is from RNAcentral.